UUACUUGAUAAUGACUGUAUACACUUGCACAAACUCGAGCAUUACACAUGUGUAAGUAUGAACAAAUUCAGACAGUGAAACUACGAAUGGAUCAUUAAAUUAGUUAAAGUUUGUUUGAGGGUAUUUGCUACUCAGAUAACCGUAGUAAUUCUAAAACUUAUACAUACAAACAACCUUAACUUAUGGAAAGGGAUGCAUUUAUUAGAUAAAACAUCAACACGGACUUUGCUCGUUGCUCUGAUGAUUCAUGAUAACUUGACGGAUCGCACAACCUUUGUGCCGGCAAUGCAUCAUUAAAAUUUCUGCCCUAUCAACUUUUGAUGGUAGGAUACUGGCACUAUGGUGGUGACAGUGACAAAGAAUUAGGGUUCAAUUCUGGAGAGGGAUCCUGAGAAACGACUACCAUAUCCAAGGUAAGCAGCAAGCGCACAAAUUUCCCAAUCCUGACACGGAGAGGUAGUGACAAUUAAUAACAAUACCAUGCUCUAUGAGGUUGGUAAUUAGAAUGAGUACAAUCUAAAUCCCUUAAAGAGGAUCCAUUGGAGGGAAAGUCUUGUGCCAAUAGCUGUGGUAAUUCUAGGUCCAAUAACGUAUAUUUAAGAUGUUGCAGUUAAAAAUCUCAUAGUUAGAGUUAGAGGUGGGUCGGUCGAUCCGCCUUACGGUGAGAACUGGUCUACUCAUCCCUAUUGCCGACGAUGCGCUCCUAGCCUUAAUUGGUCAAGUUGUUCCUCCGACGUUAUUACUUUGAAAAAAAUAGAAUGCUCAAAGAAGGAUUACACUUGUAUACAUUAGCAUGGGAUACCAUCAUAGGAUUUUGAUCCUAAUUUGUUCGCCUUCAAGAUUGGAGUAAUGAUUAACAGGGAUAGUCGGGGACGUUCAUAUUUCAUAGUCAAUGGUAAAAUUCUUGGAUUUAUAAAAUACGAACAACUACGAAAGUACUUAAAAAUGAUGUUUUCAUUAAUCAAGAAUAAAAGUUGGGGACUCGAAGACGAUCAGAUACCAUCCUAGUCUCAACUAUAAAUGAUGCCAACUAGGGAUCGAUAGAUUUUUCUUUUAGGACUCCUUUAGCACCUUAUGAGAAAUCAAAGUCUUUUGGUUAUG
RNAcentral lists this non-coding RNA (1101 nucleotides) under Gossypium arboreum. RNAcentral's name for it is "Eukaryotic small subunit ribosomal RNA". It matches the Rfam family "Eukaryotic small subunit ribosomal RNA", at positions 1 to 1116 of the family's 1831-position model. Lineage: Eukaryota; Viridiplantae; Streptophyta; Magnoliopsida; Malvales; Malvaceae. The record is from Rfam by way of RNAcentral.